This 360-nucleotide ribosomal RNA is filed under the name Triticum aestivum (bread wheat). Its description in RNAcentral is "partial small subunit ribosomal RNA". Lineage: Eukaryota; Viridiplantae; Streptophyta; Magnoliopsida; Poales; Poaceae. The record is from RNAcentral.
AUGGCAAGCACCCGCAGAGAGCUGCGCUAUCGCGCGCAGGCGUGGGGGAGAACCCGCAGCGAGCUGCGGUAUCUAGCGCAGGCAUCCGCGAGGCAAGGACGAACUGCGCCGGCGCCUGCAGACGUGGACAAGAACCGGCGGCGAGUCGCAGUGGAUCACUCGGGCAUCAGCGUGGGUGAGCACCGUCGGGGAGCUACGGUUGCUCGCACAGGCGUGGGCAAGCUAGGGCGGAGAGCUGCGGUGGCUUGCGCUGGCAGCGGUGAGGUUCACGACGAGCAACCCGUGACGACAAGAGCGAGGUGCCUAGAAAAUGGAAAACAAAAAGGGAAAGUAAUGAAAAAAGGAGAAAUUGCAUGGUAA